CACACAUUACCAGAUACAUACACAUUACCAGAUACACACACAUUACCAGGCAACUCUUUUUGUUUAUAUUUACAACUCAGGUCAGGUAUGGUGGCCUGUAGAGUCCCUUGGGAAACCCAACUACCGAACCAUCCAAUGAUGGGAUUUAUAAAUAAAUGAUCUGGGCUUCUGAAA
Molecule: long non-coding RNA, 174 nt
Organism: Oncorhynchus tshawytscha (Chinook salmon)
Lineage: Eukaryota; Metazoa; Chordata; Actinopteri; Salmoniformes; Salmonidae
Exons: 2
Source: RefSeq, a predicted model, not a curated record